This is a long non-coding RNA of Camelus dromedarius (Arabian camel), 13720 nucleotides long. RefSeq lists it as uncharacterized. The transcript has 4 exons. The record is from RefSeq and is a predicted model, not a curated record. Lineage: Eukaryota; Metazoa; Chordata; Mammalia; Artiodactyla; Camelidae.
CUUUUUUAUGGCUAAGUAUAUAUAUAUAUAUAUGGAAUAUGUGUGUAUGUAUAUAUAUAUAGAAUAUAUAUGUAUGCAUGUAUCCACUCAUCUGUCGAUGGACAUUUAGGUUACUUCCAUGUCUUGGCUAUUGUAAUAGUGCUACGAACAUUGGGGUGCAUCUAUUUUUUUGAAUUAGGUCUUUUCAGGAUAUAUGCCCAGGGAUGAUAUUGCUGGAUCAUAUGGUAACUCCUAUUUUCAGUUUUCUAUGGAAUCUCCAUACUGUUCUCCAUAUUGGCUUCACCAAACUGCAUUCCCACCAACAGUGUUAAGAGAUUUUCUCAACAUCCUCUUCAGUAUUUAUUGUUUGUGGACUUUCUAAUGAUGGCCAUUCUGACCAGUGUGAAGUGAUACCUCACUGUGGUUUUGAUUUGCAUUUCUUUGAUAAUUAGCGAUGUUAAGCGUCUUCUCAUGUACCUGUUGGCUAUCUGCAUGUAUUCUUUGGAGAAGAGAACAACUCUUAAAGGAAGGCAUUCAUUUUUAGAUUGAGCUAUAUUGGUCAGCUCAAAUCAGAAGAUUUGAUUUGGUUUCAAGCUCUUAUCCAUCAAGAGAUGGGCAAGAUUUCUGCUAGAGCCGUAUAUUUCCUGAGAGCAAGCCAGUGUCCAUAGACCUGGGCAGACACGAUCAGUCACUGGAGAUGAGAAAGAGCUAAACAGCCAUGUCCCCUCCUGAAAGGCCAGGGUCCCCCUCCUUGGCAGCUGUUUGUGGGAUGCUAUCUAAAGUUGCACAAUGUUCUGAACUUGAGUGAAAACAACCAUAGAUUCAGGGGAUUGUCCAAAGAACCAUUCUUAGUGAUGACUGCCGGGCCUUCCUUCAGGUCUCAGUAAGACGGUUGAUUCUAGGACAGAAGGUGGAUGUCAUGAACCGAAAAGGAUGGGGAAAGUACUUCACAAAAAUGGAGUAGGGCCAUGUAGUUGAGCUUUCAUCAUGAGACAAAAGAGAAUGAAAUUCCUCACCCUACCACCUUCCUCUGAUCUCAGCCUCAUCAGUAUGUGUUGUCUUCCUAGAUAAUCUAAUGCUCUCCCUUUGUGCUGCCUAAGCUCUGGGGCAGGCAUCCUCCCCGGGUCUGAAGUGUGGCCACCUAACCCAGCAUGGCUUUCCUGAGUCUGAGGCUACCACAGACACGUCAUGGAGCAGCACCAUGACUGACGAUGGCCAGUGUAUUCAAGUUAAGCUAAAUCCAUGUGAGCUAGCUGAGCAAAGAAAUCCUCUCUGGGCAAUUAAUAGCCAGCUCCCAAGCAUUCAGGAGAGCUUUACUGAUAGGUUUUAGAACCGUGAUUUUGUCAUUGUUUGAGCUGGUCUCAGGACCACCUGCAUUAGAAUUACCUGAGAUUCUUAUUAAACACGCAGCUUCCCAUCUCCACCGAGACCUAGUAAAUUUGACUCUGUAAUGGAUCCAGAGAAUCUGUAUUUUAACAAUUCACUAAAUUAUUCUCCUCUAUCCUACGUUCAAGAAUUAACUGGGGCUAAAAAAACAAAACCAGAAUUAACUGGGGCUGAGGUACAGCUCAGUGGUAGAGUGCCUGCCUAGCAUGCACGAGGUCCUGGGUUCAAUCCCCAGUACCGCCAUUAAAAAAUUAAUAAGCCUAAUUACCUCCACUCCAACAAAUUUUUUUAAAUACAUAAAAAAUAAAAAUAAAAGAAGAAUCAACCUCAACUCCACUUUUGUAUCACCAUUGUGCCUAGCAUAAUGCUUAACACAUAGAAGAUGCUAGACAAAGAUUUUUUAAAAGGCUGAAUAAACGUUCAUAGCAGCCCCUCUCCUGGCCUGCUGUGGCCCCACCUGCAUGUUAUGCAUCACGGUUACAGCGCUCUCAAUUCCUGCUACCCCUUCAUGGCUAAGGAAUUGAAUUUUUUUUUUUAGGGUAUUUCUCCCUCCCUUCCUCAGCUGUGGCUUCUCCAGGCUCCCUAGCCUCCCAAGUUUAAUCCUUAAAGCAUCUCAGCAGCCACAGACCUAUUAGGAUGGGUCAGUGGACAACAAAGAAAUGUAUGAGGCCAGUCAAGUUCAGGAUCCCUCAUUCCAGAAUCGUGUCUAAUAAUCCAGGAUGGGUUGAGUUGGGUGUCUACCCAGGCAAGGUCUCACUCAAGGCUCUAUGGAUUAACCAGGAUGAUCAAGGUUGGGGAGGGGUGCCAGUGAAAUGAAGCCACUGCGAGGGUCCUGGUAGGAGGGGUCAUCCAUGGGGUGUGGCUUUCCACCCGUCUGCCUGGGGGAGUUUAUACCCAUGCUUUUGAGUUUGUUGUCAUAAAAUCACACUCAGUGGUAAGGCUCUCCUUUCUAGCACCUUGGGUUUGCAUUUAAGUCUCCUGAAAUGCUUUGAAAAUACAAACUUUCAAAUAGGUUGUCAAUCGUAUUUCAUCCCACGAUUGCAGUGAGACUCAAGGCAGGUUUGUCUUGAAAACAACCCAUGCCUCGUCCCUUUUGGCAGGGCAGAGCUCAGAGAAGAGCGAUGUAAUUGCCCAGACUGAGUCUGAGGUUAGAGUGUUUAUGUAACAAAUCCGCUAAACUUAAAUAUUUCUUGUGGUGUGGUCAGGGCCGCAAACCUUUGCCCAGGCUCACUACCAUGAAUGUCAUCUGUUUACUCAACCCUGUGUGGGCAUCUCUGUUUACGUGAAAGGACCCUGCUAGCUUAAAGCCAGUUAAUAUGUUCAAUCAUACAUCAUGUUGCUUACGUAUUUUAUAAUAAGGAUUGCAGAGACAAUUUUUCAAAGCAGUCAGACCGCUUACAUUUGUGCGUGCCCUGAUGAGCAGACAUAUUGAAUGAAUGUUCACUUGGCAAAAUCUUAACAACUAAGGAAUUUUUCUUCCCCAGAUAAUUACAAGAGGCCUAAUAAUGUUCCUCCAAGCCAGCCUUCUGAUUCCCUUCCCCCUUGAUAGAGACAACAUGUACCAGACAAACAGCUGAGACAGACAGCCCGAAGGGACUGGAGAGGCUCUCCCGGGGCCAGAUCAAGCCAACUAUAUGAGAAGUGAUGCUUUCCAACUUCAUCAUGGAGCUGGGAGCCAAAGGAUGUUUCAAGGGCCAGGGGAGAAGGUGCUGAAUAACGCCCCCACUCUUUCCAAGGCAUUUUAUACUGCGGCUUCAUUACUGAGUUUGAAACGUGAAUUCCCAGAAUAUCAGGCAUCCCUAGACUCAAAUGUGAGUGCAGAAAGGCACUCCAAAGCCAAAUGUAAAUUAUUUUUAAAUUAUUCAUGCCACCUAUUCGCCAUUAGAACAGAUAAUUGAGCUAACUGUAAAUAUGUAUAAACAGAAGUGACAGAAACAAACAUCCACAACAAACUACAGAUGAACAGAAAAAUCCACUUAAGUGCUGAAUAAUUAGGGUGGAGGGAAGCCAAGGAAGGUGGGAGGCCAUAGUUCUGGAGUGAUGAGUGAGUUGGGACUAAACUGGAAAUAGCCAGCAAGAUGGGAGCUGGUUCCAAGAAGAGGAGGGCUGGGACUUGGCAGAGAGGAAGGGGGAGUGGUAGGGGCUAAGAAGCUAAACUCGUGCAGGGAAGUACAGAUGAGCAGUGGGUUCUGGUUUCUGACAAGUCUGAGCUAAGCGAGGCAAAAAUGACAGAUGGAGCCCCAGCCAACAGGAAAAAAAAAAGAGAAAGAAAGUCCGCUCGAUAGGAGAUGUUUGAGGUCCUCCUGGAACCUUGGGACACAGCGCAAGGAAAUACAUUCCAUCUGCAGCAUUCCACCCCAGGACUGGCCCCCUAAUCUGCAGAGUGAGCUAGGGGUAAAAAUUUUCUUAGAAACAACACUCUCCUGUAAUGGCUAGCAAUUUGGGAGCAAGAAUGUGUUAAACGGCAAAAGGCUUGGGGCUCCCCUAUUUAAAAAAAAAUAGAGUUCAAAGUAGCUAGUUAGAACAUGCAGGUUUUAAGAGUAGAAAAAUGUGAUGCUGUCCCCGCAGAAGGCUCUGGGUCACCACCAGAGUGUGGUCCGAAGCAAACACGUGGAGGUAAAUGACAGAGAAACUGUGUUCAAACACGAAUGAAGUCAGCAGGCAACCUGAGAAUUAAAGCCCAAAAUUAGCUGGCAGUAUUGAUCAUUCCUAAAGGAGAAAUCCAGCACGAGAAGUUCAGUUCUUAGCAGAUACUGAAGCAGGAACAGAGCUUUAAGCAAAUGUCCCUCCUCCAUACAGACACCUGACAGUUGCUGGCAGUUCCCAGACGGAGCCAGGUCAACUGCCAGGUGAGGACUGAGAGUGAUGGAGACCAGCCUGGUGGGGAGGAUAAGGAAGAGUCUAGAGGAAGCCUCACAGCAACCCAGGUAACAACAGGCACAGGAAAUAAGCAAGUGAAGGCCAGGGUCAAUCUACAUAAGUUGCAGAGAGGCUGUCUCCUACUUGUGUGAGAAGACAGUAACUUUACCACAGAGCUGGUGCCCUGUCUUUCACGGUCAGCAACCUCUCCAGACCAGGGCUUCCAUCUCAGUGUGACCCAAGGGGGCAAGUGUCCUAGGAGGCAAAGAUUUCUCCCCACCGUGUGACCAAGUCCCACCCCCAUGCCAAGGAUGGAUGUGUAGGGGGGGGUCAACAUUUGUGCAAAACUACAAAUUCCACACAAACACCGAGUAGACAUCCCAGGUGCUGACCCUGGUCCGAGACCUGAGUUAUGGUAUCAAAACAGAGAGAUUAAUGGUAAAGUCGGUAUCAUUUCCACCCAGAUGUUUUUAGGAUAAUCGUGUUUAAAAUUCUGUUGUCUUAUGGAAUUGUCUCUGAAUCAGUGUCCCUGGAGAUGAACAGCAUCUUUUAUCCAGUAUUCGAUUAAACUUAAGAAACAUUUUUCAGGGUUAUGUACUUAUCGUACACUCGGCUCUGACCCCUGGCUGUAGGCAGACGCAGCCAGGAUGAGUAAGGACUUCCCCCGGCACAAGUAGGCAAGCAUGCUACGGAAAUGUAAUGUGCGACAGAUGGAUGAUUCCUUAUCAUUAUUACUGAUAGCAUUAUUUCUAUUCCUGCUGUCAAAAAUCCAGAAACCACUAAAUGAAAAAACAUCAGAUCAACAAAAUAGUAAUAGCAAGAGUUUAUUGUGCACAUAAGAACAGUUCUCAAACUGGGUGCUUUAAAACCAACAUUGGAAUGAAGCUCAGAGGUCUAUGUUACAGGACAACUUACAUAGUGAAAAUUCAGAGACUGUGUAUUCUUUACAAUGAUUGGUUACAAUAAUGAAGUUUUUCCUAAUGAUAGGGCAUUGGUUAAAAGUGGUUUUCUUACGCCAAUUUUGGAAAACAGUGUAACUUUCACUUAUGAUUUUCAAAGGCAUUUACAAGAAGUGACUCAAGCUAAUGUCACUAAAUAAUCUAAAUUAGGCUUCACUUACAUGGCUUAACAAUUUUGUCUGCUCAGGAAAUAGUCAAAUCUUGUCUUCAUUCCAUAUUUUACUUUAACAUUGCUUAGUGGCCAACAGUAGUAACUGUUCAAUAAUUUUUUCAUCGAAUGAAUGAAUCAACCAAUUCAUUAUUAACAGGGACAGUACAGCUGCCAAAGAUGGCAGGAGGAAAGGGGACAAAGAGAGAAUCCCUGAGCCAGGUGCUGUCGGGGAAGGUGCGCCUGAGGCUUGCCCUGAAGGUUAACAGGAAGUGUCAGUGAAGGAUGGGUACACUCACACCUCACAUUAGCUGAAGCACAUCCAUAGUCAACAGUAAUGCAGGAUAAAUAAUGUACAAGGUUAAAGGAAUAAGACAUUUAGGAGGGUGAGUGUACAGCGGUAGAGCACAUGCUUAGCAUGCACAAGGUCCUGGGUUCAAUCCCCAGUACCGCCACUUAAAAAAAAAAAAAAAAAGUCAUUUCCUUAAAGACUUCCUCCAUCUGCUUAAAAACAGUUGACCCUUGAACAACACGGGUCUGAAUUGUGCGAGUCCACUUAUAUGUGGAUCUUUUUCCAUAGCAAAUACUAUAGUACUACUUGAUUGGGGGUUGGUUGAAUCCAUGGAUGAAGAAUCAGACAUGGAAGAACCACAUAUGUGAAGCGCUGGCUGUAAGUUACGCAGGAAUUAUGACAGCACAGAAGGUUAGCGCCCUUAACCCCCGCCACAGUGCUCAAGGGUCAACUGUACUGUAUCUAGGUUGAGACUUGCAAGCCUGAGGGGUAGAAUCCAGUAACAUGCUGGAGUCUGAACCAUGGGAAAGAGGAGUUGGAGGGAGCUCUGUGAAACCCACCAGAGGUUGCCAGGAGCUGGGAGUACACGUGCCACCAGGACCUCCGAGGGCAGAAAAACACCACACGUGGAGCAGACCCCCAAGGAAGGAGUCCUACCUGCCCCUUGAGACCUCACCUCUUAGACACAAAGCCCACAGACAAGGACCAACUUGAGGGCCAGGCCUGGGUUCCCAGGGAAAUCCCCUUCCCCUGAGGCAGCCACUCCAGAACAAUCUCGUCCUCCUCUGCCACCCAAGGCGCCCUUAGAAAAAGACUGGAGAGAAAACACACUCACUGGGAUGCUUUAUGAGUGAAUUUAAUCCAAUAUCACAUAUUUACCCAUUUGUUGAGGGUAUUUCUAUUUGAACAUGACCUGGUGGGGGCUGUUCCCCCAGACAGUGAAGCAUCAGAAUGGCCAUGAUUUCAGCUGUGUCCCUGCCGCACUCAGCCUGGCUCCCCAGAGACCCAUUCCCCCCACCCACACGCUGAGUCAUUGCAAGCAGUAAAAAUGCUUUGAACUGAGCAAAAGAACAAAGCUCUACCGUGAUAUUUCAAAGGAAACAGAGGAAUUUGAGGAGCCAUCAGCCAUCCUGGUUUCACCCAGAUUACUCUUAGUGACCUUCAGCAGUGGGACCCAGGGUUUUCAUAACAACUCUGCUUUCUCAAACUCCAGAUCACCUGCAGCUCCAAACUGCCUCUUCUCUGAUUCAUGUGCAGACUUUGAGUGGCCAAGGAGUAACUUCAGGCAGAAAUCAGUGUUCCUGCUCCCCACCGGUCUCCACCUAAGCCAGUGUCUCAGAAGCGCCUCCUCCUUCCUUCGGGUUCUACCUGCCUGGAACAGUACCCUCUUUCGGCCAGACCCCUGGCCUCCCAGGUUUAAAGUCUCCUCCCCAGGCUCAGUGUUGCCCUACAAAACUGCUGAUGGAAGACGGGGCCAGUUUUUCCAGCCUGUCUUUCAAACAUCAUCUUAAGAACAGAGACUCUAUCUUUGGAAUAUAACCACAGAGUCACUCUAAUAAGGCUGAAUUUUAAAUACAGUUUUUGUAACAAUCCAAUUAUUUCUUAACUCUGUGUUAUCAAAUUAAAAAUACAUUGUCAAGAAUAUUCUUGCCAUUCUAAACCACAAAUGGGAUGGUUUUGUUUGGUUUCUUAUCAAAGCAAUGAAAUUUAAUCCAUGCAAUUGCAGAGAAUCUCUCUUUUUAAACUUGUUUAUUUCCACAGCAAAAAAGAAUUCCUCAUAAAGUUAAAUAUAGAAUUAUCAUAUGACUCAGCCAUUCCAUUCCUAGGUAUAUGCCCAAAGAAUUGAAAACAAGGACUCAAAUAUAUACACCAAGUUCAUAGCAGCAUUGUCCACAAUAGCCAAAGGGUGGAAGCAAUCCAAGUAUCCGUCAACAAAUGAAUGGGUAAACCAAAUGUGGCACAUACAUACAAAUGCAUGACAUUCUGACACACGCUACAACAUAGAUGGACCUUGAAAACAACAUGCCGAGGGAAAUAAGCCAGACAUAAUAGGACACAUAGUGUAUGAUUCCUUUUGUAUGAAAUUGCUAGAAGAGGCAAAUCCACAGAGACAAAAAGUGGGUUGAAGGUUAACAGGGACUGGAGGCUGUUACUUAAUUGGUACAGAGUUUCUAUUUGGGUGAUGAAAAUGUUUGGAAUGAGAUAGUGGGGACAGUUACGGAAUACUAUGCAUGUAAUUAUUAUCAUUGAAUUGUACACUUUAAAAUGGUUCAAGUAAUCAGUGGUAUGUAUAUUUUAGCACAAAAAAUUUUUUAAAUCAGGCUUUUUAUUAGUAUGAAGUUUUUGGCUACUGGAUCAAUUAUAAAUAUUAUUGGCUUGUAUUUAAAAUCUCUGUAGUGACAUUUAUUCCCAGCAUAAAACUCCAGUUUUCGAUGUCUUUAAAACUUAGCCAGCAUGUGACCAGCAUGCACUGUCUGGGAGCAGAGGCUGAGCCACAGCAGCCCAGCCUUGUCGCCAGCUCUCCGCUUCCUGCCUGUGUGACCCAGCCAGUCACCUGUCCUCCCAAAGCCUGAGUUUCCACUUCAUAUGAUAACGACAUUAAUUAUUUCAUGGGGUUGUUGUAAGGAUAAAAUGUGUUGUAAGUGUUAUGAGCUUAGUACCGUGCUGGCACAAAGUAAGUGCUCAUAGUUAAGCUAUUAUUCUUAUUUUUAUUCAAUUGACAGAACUUAGGGGUUUUUUUUAAAUUGAUUGAGAUUAAAAGAGGGAAAAUGAUUAAGAAGCACUGAUCAUUCCGAGGAGAGGAACCAUACAGCAUGGCUCAAAGGCGUGUGACGAAACUCAGUCCUGGAAGUUAAGAAAGGGCAUGAAGCUUUCCUGAACAUUCCACCAUCUGAGCCUGCUGGUGGCAACUUGGGGAGUCAUUCUCAGGAGUCUUCAGCCUGAUUCCGGGGAAGCCUCUGGUCCCAGCAGCUGUGAAGCACAGCUGUGGGCAAAUGGAUACAGUGUCUUUUGCUUUUAUAAUUCUGUUUGCUCUGAUCACUGGCACUGUGUUGGUUUAUGCUCCUGGGGUGCAUCACCAGUUCAGGCACCCGGACCUUCUGUUUCCCUUAGCCCUCCAGCCUCUAAACAACCUUCCCACUCCAGACCCCAGUGACAUACAGGCAGGUGUCUGAAAUGGCCACUGAGUUGGUCUGGGGAUUAACAUCCACUUUGAAGGUGUCAGGCCUGAUAGGAAACUAUUCCAGGGAGAGGAGGGAGCCUGGGGCAGGGGAACAACAGCUCUCCCGUCAUAAACAGACUCCUCAGCCUUCGCAGCUUUGGUUUCCCAGGAGCCCAGCGGGCAGGAGUUUGGAUUCGAGAUGUAAAGAUAACAGAGUUGACAGCUUGGAGGUCAUGGUGUCCUGAUUGCUCUCCUCCGUGUGAGUUGCUGUUGCUGGUUGGAGGCUGGUAUUUUCCUCUCUGUGUUGUGUAGCACUCAGCCCUUUCCUGGGAAGAGAGAGCACAUUUUUUGCUCCCCUUAAUCACCACCACUUUGGCAUCAGUACAGAACACUUCAUAUAAGGGACCACAGUGCCUGAAGAAUCUUGGAAAUUUGUUGGGGGCGGGGGCUUGUGGGGACAGGGAGUGGCUGUAAGUGAGAACACACACUGUAAAGAUUGGAGCCCGGGAGAGUCUAGGGGCCCCUCUCCAGCCCCCAGGGACAGAGAGCAGGAAACAGAAAGCUCCCACAGCCCCAGAAUGAACGAAGAAUUCCUAACUAAAAGUGACCCAAAAUAAUGCGGUGUUCUACUAACAGCUGAAGGUGUAGAAGAGAACUUGUGAGAUUUUUAAGUCAUAACUGUAUGUUAGGAUACCCUGGAAGUUCAUUUUCUCAAUGCAAAGUUGUUUGUUUCUGAUUCAAAAGUACAUUAACGGUUGUUUAAUGGCUAUAGACUUUCAGUUUGGGAAGAUGGAAGAAGUUCUGGAGGUGGAAGGUGGUGAAUGUUGGACAGUUUGAUUAUAUUUCAUACGACAGAACUGUACACUUAAAACGGAGUGAAGUAGUAAAUUUCAUGUUACGUAUAUUUUGCCACAUCAAAAUCCAUUUUUCUGUAUUCAAAAUCUUUUAAUAACCUUUAAUGAAAAAGAAUAUGAAAACAAAUAUGUGUAUAUAUAUGCAUCACUGCGACAUUAUGCUGUACACCAGAAACUGGCACAUUGUAACUAACUAUACUUCAAUUAAAAAAAUUUUAAGUGCUUUUAUUACUAGACACCUACAAACCUUUUCAUUCAUUGAAUACAAAUUUAUCUCCUUGUUUUUAUCCAUUUUAUCUCUGCGGCUUAGGCAAGCUCUGGUUCUGAUGACUAGAUUCUACUCUAACUAGUUAUGUGACCUUGAACAGGUCAUUUCACCUUUCCGGUCUUCAGCUGCCUCACAUGUAUAACAGGAGAAGUUUGAAAAGAAUUGUCUGCUUACAGCCCUGAUGGUCAAGGAUUAGCAUUUAUUGAAAGUGUGCCAUGUACCAGGCUUUCUGCUACACAUUUUAUCCGCAUGACCUCAUUUAAUCCUCACAAAGAUCCCAUGAGGCUGGUAUAAUUAUCCUCAUCUGACAGAGAGGAAUCAGAGGCUUAGAAGUUACAGUGACUUGUCCACUUUCAGCAAGCAAGUGGGAGGAGAGGGAUUGGGGCUUAGGUCCAUGGGACCCCUGAGCCCAGGCUCUCAGCUGCUGUUCAGUCCUGCAGCAGGACAGACGUCAGAGCCAACCCACCAUGAAUCUCUCUCCCUGGAAAAACCAUUAGCCAGAAAAUAAGACCUACAUCCAGCCAGGAGCUGGUUUUGCUGUGCUUUCUUAUUCCUCUCGCGAAAAUGCUGCCGUCUCCUGGGGGAUGGAGGGCUGAGAGCACAGGCAGGAAGCGGGACAGGCAAGCUGGCCAGCCUGCUGGCUCCUGCAAAGUCAGGUCUUCACAGUAAGUUUCAUUAUUUUGCCCUAAACCAAUUGAAAGCUCCCCAAAUUAGAUACACCCUUAUUCCAGCAUUACUUUUAGAUUAUGCUUCCUCCUGUUCUCCACAACUAAUCCAAUCAAGAGUUGGUUGCCUGAGAAUCCGGGCUCUGAAGCAGACACCAGCUAACUCCCAGCUAAGCAAUGAAGAUUCACUGGCCUUCAAAUAUUCUCUACGUCUGUUUUAACAAGGACCUACUGUAGAGCAUAGGGAACUAUGUUCAGUUUCUUGUAAUAAACUAUAAUGGAAAAGAAUCUGAAAAUAUAUAUAUGUAUAACUGAAUCGCUUUUGCUGUACACCUGAAACUAAUAUAAAUCAACUACACUUCAAUAAAAAAAUAAAAAUUUUUUAAUGUAAAAAAAUAAGUGCUUAAGACUAUUUUAAAAAACCAAAUAUUCUUUAAGUCUGUUUUAACCAUGAUUUGUUUUGUCCCCCUCAACCACAGCAUUAAUUAGGGCUCUUGGCGAGAAGCACUUCGGGCAUGUCCGUGUGUUGCCAGUGACCCUCAGCCAGAGAAACAGGAAAACAAAGCAAGAAAAGGCAGCAACAGUACAAAUGAGCAUUGGCUGCUUGCGGGAUAUUGCAAAACCAUGGAGUAUUUGCAUGCAUUUGUUGACUAAAAUCAUUGAAAAUCAACCUAGGAAUUAGAUAACAACAACAACAACAAAUCAUUGGAACAUCCGUGCAGUGACGCUGUGUAGACAUUAAGAGUGAGUCAGAUCUCUAACAGGGAAAAGCACUGUCUAAAUCAACGGACAUACGAAGCUUAGGAAGUUGAAGCCAAGUUGAGCAAUCAUCCUUGCAGACAUGGGGACAGAUCUGAAAACAGUAAGAAGAUCCUUAAACAGGAAGCAACCAAAGCCACAACAAACAACCCAGAGAAAGAAUCACAUAGGACACCAUAGAGGAGCAACUCAGGUGCUAAUAACAGGCAUCUCAACCCAACCAUGACUUGCUCCUCAGCACCCCAGUGACUAAGGCUGCUCUCCAGCACUCAGUGAGGGGGAGCUCCACUGACCAGUGUUUGUAUUCUGGUAUAUUUAUUUGCUCUUAAGAUACUAAACACACACACAUACACACACACACCCCCCCCUCAUUUCUUGGGAUUCAAAUAUUCUCUUUUUUUUCCUAUAAAGUCCAUAAUUUAAAACGCCGUUGGUGAUACUUUUAUGUAGAGAUUUUAGCAUUAGAUACUAACUACCAAUAACCAAAAUCUGUUACCUGGUGUGAGUAAAACCCAGUAAGUAGCACUAUAUGAGUUAGUUAUGGCCACAUAACAAAUUAACCCAAACCUUAGUGACUUAAAGCAAGUUAUUAUUUAUUGUUUCUCAUAGUUUCUGUAGGCCAGGCAUGUGGGUCACAGAGGGAAUACAGUUUUGUCUCUGCUCCACAAGGACUGGGGCCUCAGCUGGAAGGCUUGCAGUGUGAAAGCUGGAAUCAUCUGAGGGCUCGUUGACUCUCACGUGUGAAAAUUGAUGCUGGCUGUCAGCUGAGGGCUUGACUGGGACAUUGGUUAGAACUUCCACACAUGGCUUCUCCAUGCAGCCUGGGCCUCCUCACAGUGUGGCAGCUGGGAUCCAAGGGCAAGCAUCCCCAAAGAGAGAACCAGGAGAAGCUGUGUCCUUACUAUGAUCUAAUCUGGAAAUCACACAGGUUUGCUUCCACCAUACUCCAUUGAUCAAGGUGGUCACAAGCCCCCACCCAGACCGAAGUGGAAAGAACAUAGACUCACAUCUCAAUGGGAUGGACAUCAGCCACACAGGAAGAAGAGCAUUUAGAGAGGGAUAUGUGUGUAGGUGUGGCCAUCUUUGGAAAAAUACAACCUACCCUUACAGAAUUCUGCUUUAAAGCUGAUUUCUGUAGGAAAAUGCUCCAUGGUGCAAACAUUUCAUGUACAAGAAAGUCUUAGGUGGAUCCUAACAGACAAAGUUGGAACAUUCGGUGUCUGGUGACAUGGUAGGAGAUAGGGUUAGGAAGGUACAUUAGAGCCAGAUGACAGAGAGUCCUAAAGGACACAUUGAAAGUGUGCUCUUUAUUCCAGGGACACUGAGGGACCACGGGAGUAUCUGCAGCAAAGAUUGCCCUCAUGGCCCUGGAGAGGAUGGAUUAGAGAAAGGGAGACCAAUUGGGAGCUCACUAAAGUGGUCCAGGGCUGAGAAAACAAAGCUGGAAGUGGCACAGUUUACUUCGGCAGCCUGUCAGAGACGUCACACUGCUGGGACAGGGAUUUCAGUAAAGGCCAAGCCUAAAGCAGUGAGGAGGGAAGGGGCGUUCUUGGUCCCUUUGGAAGUGACUGACCUUCACAGCAUGCUGACCAUCAGACUAGUGCUGGGGUACACGAGAUGCAAAUCAGUCCCUGAAGCGCGAUGAAAGCUCAUCUUGAUGCUGCCCUGAGGAUGCACUAGGAGAGCAGACGAGGCAGGAAGACUGGGUUUAUGACAGACCAGUCAAGAAGUGACAAGGUGGUGACCCAGGAGAGUGGGAACGGAUAAAAAUUCUGCAAGUCCAAAAAAGAGUUGGCCCUAAAUCCAAUGAUAGCUGUCCUCCUAGGAGACAGAAGGGGAGAAGACAGAGAGAUACACACAGAGGACAAGGCCACGUGAAGAAGGAAGCAGAGAUGGAAGUUGUGCUGCCACAGCCACAGAGUGCUGAGAUCCACCAGCAGGAGGGAUCUUUGGAGGGAGCAUGGCCCCACCAACAACUCGCUUUCAGGCUUCUUCUGGUCUCUAGAACCAUGAGAGAAUAAAUUCCUGUUGUUUUAAACCACCAAGUGUAUCAUUUGUUGCAGGGGCCACAGGAAAAUAAUACAGCACCUACCAAGAGGCACGUCCAGAAAUCACUUUUCGUUUUUUCUUGUCGUAAAGGAGAGGUGUUGAGACAGGAGGGAAGGGGGCAGGGCACAAUCACGGAAGGAAUGACCCAGCCGUUGAGAACAGGGCAAACUGUUCAGGACAAGAUGGCAGACGAUCCGAUUUCCAGGGGACCUGAGCCUCAUGGCACAGCCGCAGGUGCCAUGACAGUUCCUAGGCUGACCAUAAAAGGGCAAAAAAGGGUGGGGCUCACACUCUGUCUGUGGAGUGUGUAACCACUUUUACUUUAAACUAAACCCCCGACAC